UACGUAGGGGGCAAGCGUUGUCCGGAUUUAUUGGGCGUAAAGGGUGCGUAGGCGGCGCGGUAAGUCGGGUGUGAAAUUUCGAGGCUUAACUUCGAAACUGCAUUCGAUACUGCCGUGCUUGAGGACUGGAGAGGAGACUGGAAUUUACGGUGUAGCGGUGAAAUGCGUAGAUAUCGUAAGGAAGACCAGUGGCGAAGGCGGGUCUCUGGACAGUUCCUGACGUGAGGCACGAAGGCCAGGGGAGCAAACGGG
This 252-nucleotide ribosomal RNA is filed under the name uncultured bacterium. Its description in RNAcentral is "partial 16S ribosomal RNA". It matches the Rfam family "Bacterial small subunit ribosomal RNA", at positions 524 to 776 of the family's 1533-position model. The record is from RNAcentral.